CGAAGAGCUCGAAGGAUGGCCAUUUGAUUUGAAUCGAUCAUUCAGAUCAUCAAGCUCUUUAAUGUUAUCAAAGCCAGCCACCUCAUUUGAAGCAAUAGCUUUGAUAAGUGAUGGAAGUACUUCAGGGGAAUCUUCCGUUGACAUGUGGUUUUGUUUGCUAUUUUCCUUGACAAGCUAAUAGCACCUGUAAAUGUAUAUAUUUCUGUUAAGAAGAAUUCAGACAAUAAUACAACAGAAUGUAUAAAUAGUUUUACAUCUCAAAGUAAGAAAACAUGAAUUCGUUCUUGGUAUGCCAUUGUGUCUCUUGAAAGAGGUUUCAGAACCCGUGUGAUUAGCCCAUCAUGUCUUGUACACAAAUUAUCAUUAUUCAGCUUCCAAAAUUUUAUCAUUAAUGCCUUCGUGUAUGAUGCCAAAUAUGAGGUAACACACAGCACCAAAAGAAAUAAAAAAAUAAAUUUGAGAUUUUUGACCAAAUAAAUCCAGCAAAGAAAAAAAGACGGAAAACAGAAACAAGAUAAGGGGAGUACCAUGUCAAUUGACAAAUAUAUGAUUUCCAUUAGUCAGAAAUAACAAAAUAGAACAUGAGAGCUUGACAAUCACAUCAGAACUCAGUUAUUCACUCAAGGAUACAGAACAAAUGAAAUGUAAAAAAAAAUACUUCAGUCAUAUAAAUUCAUACGCUAGUGUCAGUACUCAGCAAAUUGCAAUCCGGUUUUUGAGUAUAUGUUAUUAUUUUUUCUACUUAGUAUUGUUUUCCAUGGUGAAAUUCCAGUGUUACUACUAAGGGCCUGUUUGAUACCUCCAUUUUCCAUCCAAUUUGUUUGAUGACCAAAAUUUUCCAUGGAAUUACUUUUCCACUUCUCCCUCACCUGAUGCCAUUUUCUUGGUUUUUAAGGAAUUCCAAUUCCUUUGGUUUUGGUGAGAAUUGGGAACUUUUUUUAUUUUUUAUUAUCUACUUAGUAUUGUUUUCCAUGGUGAAAUUCCAGUGUUACUACUAAGGGCCUGUUUGAUACCUCCAUUUUCCAUCCAAUUUGUGUUGUUUGAUGACCAAAAUUUUCCAUGGAAUUACUUUUCCACUUCUCCCUCACCUGAUGCCAUUUUCUUGGUUUUUAAGGAAUUCCAAUUCCUUUGGUUUUGGUGAGAAUUGGGAACUUUUUUUAUUUUUUAUUAUUUUUUAUUUUUUGCAAUGGAAACAACUUCUAUCCACAAUCGUAAAAAAAUAUAUCCAUUUAAUUGACAAUUUUCAUGAAAAAAAGCCAAACCAACACGAAAAGAUCCAAAAUUUCAACAUUUUCCAGGUGAAAAUUCCAAACACAUUUAAUUGACAAUUCUCAGUAAAACAAAUUAUAAACAAUUCAAUUCCUUGGAAUUCACUUUCUUUCCACCCGAAUUCCAUUCUUACAAUCAAACGGAUCUAAAUAAAUUAGAACUGACUUCCAAUAAUUAAAAUACUCGUGAAAUUUCCAUCUUGAAAUUAGAAAAAUUCAGCCUAAGGUACUAAUCGGUCUCAAGCUCAAGUAGAGUAAGAGGGUUUCAACAUGUUAACAACUAGUGUAAAAUGUCAUCAUAUCUUAUGACAAACUAGAACGAUUCAUAACAUGAUCCAAAGCCAUAAUAUCUUGCCACAACGCGAAAUCCUCAGUUCUUACCUCAAGCUUCUCUCCUUACUGAUUGCAGAAAAUGGGAAGCUAAUCAGACCUUUAAUAGCAAAACAGUCCACCAAACUAGCAAACCUUGCAGUUAGGUCAAUCCAAGGCUUAAAUUCGUGCCGAGCUCGAUAAAAAGCGCAAUUAUCUAUUGAAUGAAAACUGGGAUGGGAGUUUAUGUUUGGAAACACCUCCCUGUUUUAUAGAAUGAAAGAAAGAAAUUUAUUUUGCAGCCACAAGAAGCAAAUUGUACAUAUAUAUACUGAGAAAGGAAUGUUCUUGGAAUCACUACGUAAGUCCACCAAAU
RNAcentral lists this long non-coding RNA (1953 nucleotides) under Olea europaea (common olive). RNAcentral's name for it is "long non-coding RNA (OEUR_LNC000272)". Lineage: Eukaryota; Viridiplantae; Streptophyta; Magnoliopsida; Lamiales; Oleaceae. The record is from RNAcentral.